Molecule: transfer RNA, 71 nt
Filed under: Madurella mycetomatis
Lineage: Eukaryota; Fungi; Ascomycota; Sordariomycetes; Sordariales
Description: tRNA-Arg
Rfam family: tRNA
About the family: Transfer RNA (tRNA) molecules are approximately 80 nucleotides in length.
Source: RNAcentral
AGUAUGUUCGCCUAAUGGUAAGGCAUAGUAUUACGGCUACUAAAAUAUGAGUUCAAGUCUCGUACAUGCUG